AGAGUUUGAUCCUGGCUCAGGAUGAACGCUGGCGGCGUGCCUAAUACAUGCAAGUCGAGCGAACGGACGAGAAGCUUGCUUCUCUGAUGUUAGCGGCGGACGGGUGAGUAACACGUGGAUAACCUACCUAUAAGACUGGGAUAACUUCGGGAAAUCGGAGCUAAUACCGGAUAAUAUUUUGAACCGCAUGGUUCAAAAGUGAAAGACGGUCUUGCUGUCACUUAUAGAUGGAUCCGCGCUGCAUUAGCUAGUUGGUAAGGUAACGGCUUACCAAGGCAACGAUGCAUAGCCGACCUGAGAGGGUGAUCGGCCACACUGGAACUGAGACACGGUCCAGACUCCUACGGGAGGCAGCAGUAGGGAAUCUUCCGCAAUGGGCGAAAGCCUGACGGAGCAACGCCGCGUGAGUGAUGAAGGUCUUCGGAUCGUAAAACUCUGUUAUUAGGGAAGAACAUAUGUGUAAGUAACUGUGCACAUCUUGACGGUACCUAAUCAGAAAGCCACGGCUAACUACGUGCCAGCAGCCGCGGUAAUACGUAGGUGGCAAGCGUUAUCCGGAAUUAUUGGGCGUAAAGCGCGCGUAGGCGGUUUUUUAAGUCUGAUGUGAAAGCCCACGGCUCAACCGUGGAGGGUCAUUGGAAACUGGAAAACUUGAGUGCAGAAGAGGAAAGUGGAAUUCCAUGUGUAGCGGUGAAAUGCGCAGAGAUAUGGAGGAACACCAGUGGCGAAGGCGACUUUCUGGUCUGUAACUGACGCUGAUGUGCGAAAGCGUGGGGAUCAAACAGGAUUAGAUACCCUGGUAGUCCACGCCGUAAACGAUGAGUGCUAAGUGUUAGGGGGUUUCCGCCCCUUAGUGCUGCAGCUAACGCAUUAAGCACUCCGCCUGGGGAGUACGACCGCAAGGUUGAAACUCAAAGGAAUUGACGGGGACCCGCACAAGCGGUGGAGCAUGUGGUUUAAUUCGAAGCAACGCGAAGAACCUUACCAAAUCUUGACAUCCUUUGACAACUCUAGAGAUAGAGCCUUCCCCUUCGGGGGACAAAGUGACAGGUGGUGCAUGGUUGUCGUCAGCUCGUGUCGUGAGAUGUUGGGUUAAGUCCCGCAACGAGCGCAACCCUUAAGCUUAGUUGCCAUCAUUAAGUUGGGCACUCUAAGUUGACUGCCGGUGACAAACCGGAGGAAGGUGGGGAUGACGUCAAAUCAUCAUGCCCCUUAUGAUUUGGGCUACACACGUGCUACAAUGGACAAUACAAAGGGCAGCGAAACCGCGAGGUCAAGCAAAUCCCAUAAAGUUGUUCUCAGUUCGGAUUGUAGUCUGCAACUCGACUACAUGAAGCUGGAAUCGCUAGUAAUCGUAGAUCAGCAUGCUACGGUGAAUACGUUCCCGGGUCUUGUACACACCGCCCGUCACACCACGAGAGUUUGUAACACCCGAAGCCGGUGGAGUAACCUUUUAGGAGCUAGCCGUCGAAGGUGGGACAAAUGAUUGGGGUGAAGUCGUAACAAGGUAGCCGUAUCGGAAGGUGCGGCUGGAUCACCU
This 1540-nucleotide ribosomal RNA is filed under the name Staphylococcus aureus. Its description in RNAcentral is "16S ribosomal RNA". It matches the Rfam family "Bacterial small subunit ribosomal RNA". The record is from RNAcentral. Lineage: Bacteria; Bacillati; Bacillota; Bacilli; Caryophanales; Staphylococcaceae.